This 497-nucleotide ribosomal RNA is filed under the name uncultured bacterium. RNAcentral's name for it is "partial 16S ribosomal RNA". It matches the Rfam family "Bacterial small subunit ribosomal RNA", at positions 28 to 523 of the family's 1533-position model. The record is from RNAcentral.
GAUGAACGCUAGCUACAGGCUUAACACAUGCAAGUCGAGGGGUAGCAGGGUAGCAAUACCGCUGACGACCGGCGCACGGGUGAGUAACACGUAUCCAACCUACCGUUUACUCGGGGAUAGCCUUUCGAAAGAAAGAUUAAUACCCGAUAGUAUAGAGAGUUCGCAUGUUCUCUUUAUUAAAGGAUUCCGGUAAAUGAUGGGGAUGCGUUCCAUUAGAUUGUUGGCGGGGUAACGGCCCACCAAGUCUUCGAUGGAUAGGGGUUCUGAGAGGAAGGUCCCCCACAUUGGAACUGAGACACGGUCCAAACUCCUACGGGAGGCAGCAGUGAGGAAUAUUGGUCAAUGGGCGUUAGCCUGAACCAGCCAAGUAGCGUAAAGGAUGACUGCCCUAUGGGUUGUAAACUUCUUUUAUAAGGGAAUAAAACGGGGAACGUGUUCCCCUUUGCAUGUACCUUACGAAUAAGGAUCGGCUAACUCCGUGCCAGCAGCCGCCGUAA